This 243-nucleotide ribosomal RNA is filed under the name uncultured bacterium. Its description in RNAcentral is "partial 16S ribosomal RNA". It matches the Rfam family "Bacterial small subunit ribosomal RNA", at positions 15 to 253 of the family's 1533-position model. The record is from RNAcentral.
GAUCCUGGCUCAGAUUGAACGCUGGCGGCAGGCCUAACACAUGCAAGUCGAACGGUAACAGGAAGCAGCUUGCUGCUUUGCUGGCGAGUGGCGGACGGGUGAGUAAUGUCUGGGAAACUGCCUGAUGGGAGGGGGAUAACUACUGGAAACGGUAGCUAAUACCGCAUAACGUCGCAAGACCAAAGAGGGGGACCUUAGGGCCUCUUGCCAUCGGAUGUGCCCAGAUGGGAUUAGCUAGUAGGG